This 492-nucleotide ribosomal RNA is filed under the name uncultured bacterium. RNAcentral's name for it is "partial 16S ribosomal RNA". It matches the Rfam family "Bacterial small subunit ribosomal RNA", at positions 29 to 507 of the family's 1533-position model. The record is from RNAcentral.
AGUGAACGCUGGCGGUAGGCCUAACACAUGCAAGUAGAACGGCAGCACAGUAAGAGCCUGCUCUUACGGGUGGCGAGUGGCGGACGGGUGAGGAAUACAUCGGAAUCUACUUUUUCGUGGGGGAUAACGUAGGGAAACUUACGCUAAUACCGCAUACGACCUACGGGUGAAAGCAGGGGAUCUUCGGACCUUGCGCGAUUGAAUGAGCCGAUGUCGGAUUAGCUAGUUGGCGGGGUAAAGGCCCACCAAGGCGACGAUCCGUAGCUGGUCUGAGAGGAUGAUCAGCCACACUGGAACUGAGACACGGUCCAGACUCCUACGGGAGGCAGCAGUGGGGAAUAUUGGACAAUGGGCGCAAGCCUGAUCCAGCCAUACCGCGUGGGUGAAGAAGGCCUUCGGGUUGUAAAGCCCUUUUGUUGGGAAAGAAAAGCAGCAGGUUAAUACCCCGCUGUUCUGACGGUACCCAAAGAAUAAGCACCGGCUAACUUCGUG